CUAAUUAUAGGAACUCUAAUUGGGUGAAGGAAAUAAGUGUGCAUGAGCAAGGAUUUGGGUUAUAAUGAAGGAAGUGAAAACCCUAAUUAAAUGAUUUGGGUUGGAUAAGAAUUUAAAGUAUUGGACUAUGUCAAUUUCUUAUGGCAUAAGAACUUAAUUUAUUAGAAAGCUCAAAACUUGAUCCAAGUAUGGAGGGACUUUUUGGUUAUUGGUUUAGUAAAAUAAAAAGCCAAACUUGGAGCUUAAAUAGACCACAUGGCCGGCCAUGGGAAGCAACAAAAA
RNAcentral lists this long non-coding RNA (282 nucleotides) under Panax ginseng (ginseng). Its description in RNAcentral is "long non-coding RNA (PGIN_LNC010607)". The record is from RNAcentral. Lineage: Eukaryota; Viridiplantae; Streptophyta; Magnoliopsida; Apiales; Araliaceae.